Molecule: ribosomal RNA, 1351 nt
Filed under: uncultured bacterium
Lineage: Bacteria
Description: bacterial SSU rRNA
Rfam family: Bacterial small subunit ribosomal RNA
Source: RNAcentral
AUGAACGCUAGCGGGAGGCUUAACACAUGCAAGCCGAGGGGUAUAUAGUUUUCGGAUUAUAGAGACCGGCGCACGGGUGCGUAACGCGUAUGUAACUUGCCCUAUUCAAAGGGAUAGCCCAGGGAAACUUGGAUUAAUACCUUAUAAUACAGAGAGUGGCAUCACACUUUGUUGAAAGAUUUAUCGGAAUAGGAUAGACAUGCGUAUGAUUAGGUAGUUGGUAGAGUAACGGCCUACCAAGCCGAUGAUCAUUAGGGGGCCUGAGAGGGUGACCGGCCACGCUGGGACUGAGACACGGCCCAGACUCCUACGGGAGGCAGCAGUGGGGAAUAUUGCACAAUGGGCGCAAGCCUGAUGCAGCAACGCCGCGUGAGGGAUGACGGCCUUCGGGUUGUAAACCUCUUUUAGUAGGGAAGAAGCGAAAGUGACGGUACCUGCAGAAAAAGCACCGGCUAACUACGUGCCAGCAGCCGCGGUAAUACGUAGGGUGCAAGCGUUGUCCGGAAUUAUUGGGCGUAAAGAGCUCGUAGGCGGCUUGUCGCGUCUGCUGUGAAAUCCCGGGGCUCAACCCCGGGCCUGCAGUGGGUACGGGCAGGCUAGAGUGCGGUAGGGGAGAUUGGAAUUCCUGGUGUAGCGGUGGAAUGCGCAGAUAUCAGGAGGAACACCGAUGGCGAAGGCAGAUCUCUGGGCCGCUACUGACGCUGAGGAGCGAAAGCAUGGGGAGCGAACAGGAUUAGAUACCCUGGUAGUCCAUGCCGUAAACGUUGGGAACUAGAUGUAGGGCCUGUUCCACGGGUUCUGUGUCGUAGCUAACGCAUUAAGUUCCCCGCCUGGGGAGUACGGCCGCAAGGCUAAAACUCAAAGGAAUUGACGGGGGCCCGCACAAGCGGCGGAGCAUGCGGAUUAAUUCGAUGCAACGCGAAGAACCUUACCAAGGCUUGACAUGUACGAGAACGGGUCAGAAAUGAUCAACUCUUUGGACACUCGUAUACAGGUGGUGCAUGGUUGUCGUCAGCUCGUGUCGUGAGAUGUUCGGUUAAGUCCGGCAACGAGCGCAACCCUCGUCCUAUGUUGCCAGCACGUUAUGGUGGGAACUCAUGGGAUACUGCCGUGGUCAACACGGAGGAAGGUGGGGAUGACGUCAAAUCAUCAUGCCCCUUAUGUCUUGGGCUUCACGCAUGCUACAAUGGCCGGUACAAAGGGCUGCGAUACCGUAAGGUGGAGCGAAUCCCAAAAAGCCGGUCUCAGUUCGGAUUGGGGUCUGCAACUCGACCCCAUGAAGUCGGAGUCGCUAGUAAUCGCAGAUCAGCAACGCUGCGGUGAAUACGUUCCCGGGCCUUGCACACACCGC